GACGAACGCUGGCGGCGUGCUUAACACAUGCCAGUCGAACGGAAAGGCCCUGCUUGCGGUGUACUCGAGUGGCGAACGGGUGUGUAACACGUGUGUGAUCUGCCCUGCACUUCGGUAUAAGCCUGGGAAACUUGGUCUAAUACCGGAUAGGCUCCAUUUUUAGUGUGAUGGUUGGAAAGUUUUUUGGGUGUGGGAUGAGCUCGCGGCCUCUCUGCUUGUUGGUGGGGUAAUGGCCUACCACGGCGGCGACGGGUAGCCGGCCGGGGAGGGUGGACGGCCACAUUGGGACGGGGAACGGGCCAAGCCUCCUAGGGGGGGAGGAGGGGGGGAAAAUUGAAAAAGGGGCGAAAGCCGAAUGAGGAGCGGCCGCGGGGGGGAGGACGGCCUUGGGGUGGAAAACGCUUUUAGCUAGGGACGAACCUUUUUGUGACGGUACCUAGAGAAGAAGCACCGGCUAACUACGUG
Molecule: ribosomal RNA, 465 nt
Filed under: uncultured bacterium
Lineage: Bacteria
Description: partial 16S ribosomal RNA
Rfam family: Bacterial small subunit ribosomal RNA
Source: RNAcentral